Molecule: long non-coding RNA, 1284 nt
Filed under: Pogona vitticeps (central bearded dragon)
Lineage: Eukaryota; Metazoa; Chordata; Lepidosauria; Squamata; Agamidae
Description: lncRNA (ENSPVIG00000012407.1)
Source: RNAcentral
CCAUGUUCAAAUUCCAAUAACUUUUAUCCAUAGUUCCCCCUCAACUGCAAUAUUGGGGAAGGGGGGGUUUUAACCACACCGGAUUUAUCUUGGGCGUGGUUUUAAUCUUUUGAGGCAAACACAGUCUCGCCUGUGAUCUUCAGGGAACAAAAUCCAACCAUCGAUGGAGGGGGGGGGGAGGACCAUAGGGAGCCACCAUCGUGCUCGUUUAAUCUUCCAUCUCCUGCUGGACUCAGUACCUUAUUCUUACCCAGGCGGACCCAUCGAAGACACUUCAGCCAGCAGGGAGCAGGGGAAAGAGGCUGGUUUUGGGGAAGGGGGCUGCUCGGAAAGUGGCCUUUCUCUUCAGGCAGUGGGAGGAGCUGCUCUCCCACCUUUGCAAAGGGCGGAAGAGGAGCGGGGUGAGGAGGGGUGUGUGUGUGUUUGAAUCUUCUCCAAAGAGAGGAGCAGAGGAAUCGAGAGGGAGAAAAAGAACUGAUGGCUCUAUCUGACCACUGAAAACCAACAGAGAACCAGCCGGUCGGCCUCCUUCUUUGCUUCCCGGGGGAGGAUCUGGGAACACAAGAAGCCGAAGGCCGUUUUAUCCCCACUCAAGUUACUUCAAAGGACGGCACCAUGGAGACAGCCCCGCGGAACCAGCCAGAGGCCAAGAGUUUAGAUAAGGAGGGAGCUUCUGCAAGGAACUCGAAAAAUCCCAGCCGGCUCUACCGAAGGUCCAUCAAAACACAGAUUGAGAAACGCCGCAGGGCCCGCAUCAAUGCAAGCCUAGAACAAUUGAAGAAGCUACUUCAACAGCCAGUGGAUCAACAGGACACUAAAGCCAAGUCACAUUUGGAGAAAGCUGAGAUCCUGGAGAUGACGGUGCAACAGCUUCGCCAGCUCAAGCAGCAAGGUAUGGUUGCUGUUUCUUCUUUCCAAGAUGGGCAAGAUUUUGCUGCUGGUUACUGUCACUGCCUUAAGACUGUCCACUUCUUCUUGACCUCAGCCAGUUCCUCUCCAAGUCAAGACAAGGCAUCACAAAUCUUGAAGUACCUGGAAGAGACUUCAGCUUCCAUAGACUGGAAAACGCACAAGCCAGAUUCUCUCUCCAUGCCUCAGUCGGCCUUUCUAUCGUCAUCUCCUUCUCUGCAACCUGCAGGGACAUCUUUUUCAGACUCUUACACCUUCACUGUUCGAUCUCGGCUGCAUCCUUCUCUGGUUUCUAUGCUGCUGCCCCAAGUGCACGUGACUUGUAUUCAGCCAGCAUCACCUGCAACUACCACCCAUAUAUGGAGACCGUGGUGA